Molecule: long non-coding RNA, 471 nt
Filed under: Amborella trichopoda
Lineage: Eukaryota; Viridiplantae; Streptophyta; Magnoliopsida; Amborellales; Amborellaceae
Description: long non-coding RNA (ATRI_LNC003623)
Source: RNAcentral
CAAAGUGUAAAUCGAGAGAACAGACGGUAGAACAGCGAACUCAUCUCCCCUGUUUUUCGAAGGAAAUCACAGUUUUUCAAAGAAGGUAAACAAUAUAUGGUUGCAUAUCUCUCUCUCUAUCUCCCCUGUUUUCAAAUAAGGUAAACCCUAAAUCGAAUGACGAACUCUACGAAGUGGAAGAAGAAACCCAGAAGGUCAACCCUAAAUCGAAAGGGCAAAUGAAGCGUUUCAGCAGCUAAAUCGAAAGGGCAAAUGAAGCGUUUCAGCAGCUAAAUCGAAAGGGCAAAUGAAGCAUUUAGUCUGAUAAGGUAUUUGUAAGACAAAUGACUUUCUUUACUCAUUAUUUUCUUUGCAAAAUCAUACUGCACACUGUAUUUUCUUGAUGCACAUAGUAUUUUCUUGCUGCACACAAUUUUUGUAGGGCAUUGAAAUCAUGCUGCACACAGUAUUUUUUUUGCAAAAUAACCACCG